UGCAGUCGAGCGAGAUCUUCGGAUCUAGCGGCGGACGGGUUAGUAACGCGUGGGAACGUACCCAAAGGUAGGGAAUAGCCACUGGAAACGGUGAGUAAUACCCUAUGUGCCCUUCGGGGGAAAGAUUUAUCGCCUUUGGAUCGGCCCGCGUUAGAUUAGAUAGUUGGUGGGGUAACGGCCUACCAAGUCUACGAUCUAUAGCUGGUUUUAGAGGAUGAUCAGCCACACUGGGACUGAGACACGGCCCAGACUCCUACGGGAGGCAGCAGUGGGGAAUAUUGGACAAUGGGGGCAACCCUGAUCCAGCCAUGCCGCGUGAGUGAUGAAGGCCCUAGGGUUGUAAAGCUCUUUCAGCGAGGAGGAUAAUGACGUUACUCGCAGAAGAAGCCCCGGCUAACUUCGUGCCAGCAGCCGCGGUAAUACGAAGGGGGCUAGCGUUGUUCGGAAUCACUGGGCGUAAAGCGCACGUAGGCGGACUUUUAAGUCAGGGGUGAAAUCCCGGGGCUCAACCCCGGAACUGCCUUUGAUACUGGAAGUCUUGAGUCCGAGAGAGGUGAGUGGAACUCCGAGUGUAGAGGUGAAAUUCGUAGAUAUUCGGAAGAACACCAGUGGCGAAGGCGGCUCACUG
This 628-nucleotide ribosomal RNA is filed under the name uncultured bacterium. Its description in RNAcentral is "bacterial SSU rRNA". It matches the Rfam family "Bacterial small subunit ribosomal RNA", at positions 56 to 731 of the family's 1533-position model. The record is from RNAcentral.